This 254-nucleotide ribosomal RNA is filed under the name uncultured bacterium. RNAcentral's name for it is "partial 16S ribosomal RNA". It matches the Rfam family "Bacterial small subunit ribosomal RNA", at positions 524 to 776 of the family's 1533-position model. The record is from RNAcentral.
UACGAAGGGGGCUAGCGUUGUUCGGAAUCACUGGGCGUAAAGGGUGCGUAGGCGGAUUCUUAAGUCAGGGGUGAAAUCCCGAGGCUCAACCUCGGAACUGCCUUUGAUACUGGGGAUCUUGAGUCCGGAAGAGGUGAGUGGAACUGCGAGUGUAGAGGUGAAAUUCGUAGAUAUUCGGAAGAACACCAGUGGCGAAGGCGACUCACUGGACACAUAUUGACGCUGAGGUGCGAAAGGCGUGGGGAGCAAACAGG